Drosophila subobscura is the source of this 340-nucleotide long non-coding RNA. RefSeq lists it as uncharacterized. Lineage: Eukaryota; Metazoa; Arthropoda; Insecta; Diptera; Drosophilidae. The record is from RefSeq and is a predicted model, not a curated record. The transcript has 2 exons.
UAAAAGUGCCACUGUAUCGCCAGUCUUCACUUCAAAUGCAAAUAUGAUGUUUCAGUAUAAGUACCUGCUCUUAACUUUGAUAUUGAGCGCCUGGUUUAUCUUCUCCAACGGUCAAUACCCGUAUGAGAUUAUAAGUUGUAGGGACAACACAGGAUUUUGUAAGGAGAAAUGUCCAAAGAAAAUGAAGUUUAUACGAAACAGAGGGGAGUGCACGGACAAAUCCACUGGGAAGAUACUCUUGUGUUGUGUCAAACAUUUUUGACCUACUGUUUUUUUUUAGCCACAACUACAAAUGUAUAAAACGAUUACACAUAUUUUUGUAAUUCAUUCGAUUUCUGGU